RNAcentral lists this ribosomal RNA (349 nucleotides) under Clostridioides difficile. Its description in RNAcentral is "bacterial SSU rRNA". It matches the Rfam family "Bacterial small subunit ribosomal RNA", at positions 181 to 549 of the family's 1533-position model. Lineage: Bacteria; Bacillati; Bacillota; Clostridia; Peptostreptococcales; Peptostreptococcaceae. The record is from RNAcentral.
UUGAGAGGCAUCUCUUAAAUAUCAAAGGUGAGCCAGUACAGGAUGGACCCGCGUCUGAUUAGCUAGUUGGUAAGGUAACGGCUUACCAAGGCGACGAUCAGUAGCCGACCUGAGAGGGUGAUCGGCCACAUUGGAACUGAGACACGGUCCAAACUCCUACGGGCGGCAGCAGUGGGGAAUAUUGCACAAUGGGCGAAAGCCUGAUGCAGCAACGCCGCGUGAGUGAUGAAGGCCUUCGGGUCGUAAAACUCUGUCCUCAAGGAAGAUAAUGACGGUACUUGAGGAGGAAGCCCCGGCUAACUACGUGCCAGCAGCCGCGGUAAUACGUAGGGGGCUAGCGUUAUCCGGA